Sander lucioperca (pikeperch) is the source of this 2903-nucleotide long non-coding RNA. RefSeq lists it as uncharacterized. The transcript is spliced from 4 exons. The record is from RefSeq and is a predicted model, not a curated record. Lineage: Eukaryota; Metazoa; Chordata; Actinopteri; Perciformes; Percidae.
CAGACAGACAGACAGACAGAGCGCAAACUGCAAGAGGUGAAAUGUGCUCGGUUCCAUUUUCUUCUCAGUCUUCAUAUCACCAUGAAAGGACGAUUCAGUCUCUUAACAAAACGGAGCUGCAUUUAAAUAUGUUUUGCUGUUCAUCAUUUCCAACAUAUUUUCGACAGAUGCUUUCCUGAGUUUUUUUGCGCACUUGGUGCAAAUGUCUCAUCAUCAUUCUGCUUUUCAGCUGUUGUUGAAUGUGAAAGGAUCCAAACUUGAGCUGGAAAUGGAUUCUCCGAAACGAGCUCCUGUCAUGGAGAGAAAAACGAGCUCCAUCACAUGAUAGACGACGUGCGUCGGUGGCUCAAAGACAGUCAUCAUUCAGUCUGCGGGGCAGAGGAUGUUCUGCAACAGAAAACACUCCAUGUCUCAACAUAAUACAGCAAUGCGCAAGAGGAGAUGCAGAUCACAGCCUGUGGGGCAGUUGGGGCACUUUUCUAAGGAAGUGUACACCCUUGAGGAUACUGCAGUUCAAACAAUAACUAUAUAAAUGUAGACUAACAUAAGACAAUGUAGUAUUUUACGGAGUUCAUCUGUUCGUGAGUACUAAAACAAGCAAUACAUUCUCUCUCCUAACAUGUCAGGGCCAGACAGCUGCCUCCCUGCCCAGCUAUGGCUCCCCCUAGCCGUGCCUCCAUAUUUCCUUGUUAAUGCACACCAUAAUGCCCUGACCCUCCCUGCUCUAUCACACAGCAUUGACACCAAAAUACCUCAAAACCUCACUUUCUCUGUCUAAAUGUGAAGUAUAUAGUCUCCAUCUGCCAUCCAGCCAACAUUGGGCACCAUUGGCCACAGCAGAAGAGAGGAUUUCUUACCUUUUGACAGUGUCUGUGGCUAUGCCUUCCUCUUCAAAGUCCCAACCUCGACAGCCUCCUUCUUCUUCCCAGCAAUCCCUGCAAAAAAGGACACUUCCAUGUAUGUUGAAUAUGUAGGGGUGAUCAAAUUGGACUAAACUAAUUCUAAAGAGCCCAGAGGGCCCCUAAAACCCAGACAUUGCUCCUUUGACCCCAAAUAUCAUCAAGGUCCAAAUUGACAUUUUAAAAUGGCAUGCCAAUGACAUAAAAGAGUAAAGCCCACUCCUCAAAUACAUGAUGUCCCACCCCUAUGGUUUCAACUUAUUUUGGUCCAUCCAGUAGUCAUACAGUUGAUACUGAAGCGCAAUUGUCAGUUAAUGCGCAGCUGAAAUCUCAUGCGCUUUCUGCUUCCUUUUGUGCGUUUGCCAAGCCCUGGAGCAUCUUUGGGAGGCUACAAAUAGUCCAUUGGUGGUAUUUAUGAGUAAAAGAGACCCUUUUCUUGUGAACAUGACCAUAAAAACCGGAAGGAAAAUAUGUUCAUCUGCGUAGAAUCUAACCAGGCAAAGAGAGAGCUAUGGAUCCAAAUGGACCUCUCCAAAAGUGCACAGGUGCAUCCAAAGGCACAGAAAACUCUCUUAUGGCUUCAGGAGAAAAAAAGAAGAAGUUUGUCCGGCUUAAAGGGUAAUUAUGAUAGCAAUUAUCUUUAGAUUUGACCAAUAGUACUCAACCAUUAAAGCUACACUCAAAGAUUGUCAAAUUUAAAGUCCAUUUGAAAGCUAACUGCAUCGAGAAAAACUUACCAAAUGGCGCAGCUGGCACUUUAGACCGUAACGGUCUAAAUAUUUAAAUAUUUUCACAUAUUUAAAUAUAUAACUUGCUUAAAUAUGUUUGUGUUAAUACUGACAGCACUGUAGCAUAUAGCUCACAAAUUGAAAUGACCGUCUAUCUGACCAACAGUAGCAACCAAGCAGACUAGAACCGGAGCUAUCAACGCACCAAUUCAGUGCGCCAAAGAAGCCCUAGUCUGGUUCUUCAUCCAGGCCUGAAUAAGCAACAAUUUAGUCCUGAAGCACAAAAAAUAUAUGGUCUAAAAUCCUUGCAGACAGAUAAAAUGGAUUAUUAGGCGGGGGAAAGACUGCGCCGGCAGUUGAAGCUGUUUUCCCCAAAAUAAACUCCUAUGCAAAUUAUGUUGGCAGCUUCCAGCAAAGCGUUAAAGGACAAUCCUGUUCCCUUCAAAGCCUGACUGAUGCCUGUGAUGUUUACGUCGUACAUAACAACAGCACAUAGGCACAAAUAUGAUGGGCGUUUGCCUCGUUGCGUGUCCAGACCUGAGCUUGUAGCAGGUUAAAGACCCCGCAUCCCACUGAGAUACCAAGCCUCAGGCAACAGCAACACAAGAGAAGCCUUGUCUUAUCUUCGGUUUGUAGCCUAGUGGAAGAAAAAAAUGAAAUAUAAAGACGAGUGUCCGUUAGAAACAAUAAAGCCUUCUUUAUCUGCUCAGAAAUGACCGUCCACAUCAACGCUCAGACCGUAUUGCUGGGAAAAGCAGACGCAUAUGUAGCUCUUUAUUCAGUAGGCUACCAGCACAGCCGGAGCUCCAGCCGGACGGACGCACGCCUGUCCUCAUUGUGCAUUUGCCGCAGCAGCUGUCAAACAGAUCAAAUUUCACACUCAAGUCACAGUGCGAUGAAUACUCACAGGUCCUAUAGGUCUAUAUGUGAUGCUGUAAUAACCACACUUGUGCAACAUCAGCUGUGCGUCGGUUGGUGGUCAAAAUGCGUAAUAUUUAGGCUGCAGGGUGACAAACAGCUUCUGUGGCAAGACCGCCUUGCUUUUUUAGCUGGGGGCCAGGAGGAGCGCUUUGUUGACGGUUUGAAAGCCGCAUUAAUUAUGUCUGGCAGUAAGUGUGAACAAAACAAAAAGCACAGUACUGUGAGUACAAAUCAGCUGCAAUGACUCCCUGUUAAUAUCGGUAAUAUUUCGUAUUUAUCAUUUUGUGAUUUUGGAUUGCCUAUUCUCUUACUGAAAGCUUAUCUAUUUGAAUAAAACAAUUAUUUGAGCAUACAG